Molecule: non-coding RNA, 66 nt
Organism: Podarcis lilfordi (Lilford's wall lizard)
Lineage: Eukaryota; Metazoa; Chordata; Lepidosauria; Squamata; Lacertidae
Source: the annotation of a GenBank genome assembly
ACAGCUCAGGGGGAGAGCAUCUGCUUUGAAUGCAGAAGGUCACAAGUUCAAUGCCUGGCAUCUGCA